GCCUGGGUGGCUCAGUCGGUUGAGCGUCUGACUUUGGCUCAGACCACGAUCUCGCGGUCCGUGAGUUCGAGCCCCGCGUCCGGCU
Molecule: transfer RNA, 85 nt
Filed under: Felis catus (domestic cat)
Lineage: Eukaryota; Metazoa; Chordata; Mammalia; Carnivora; Felidae
Rfam family: tRNA
About the family: Transfer RNA (tRNA) molecules are approximately 80 nucleotides in length. Their secondary structure includes four short double-helical elements and three loops (D, anti-codon, and T loops). Further hydrogen bonds mediate the characteristic L-shaped molecular structure. tRNAs have two regions of fundamental functional importance: the anti-codon, which is responsible for specific mRNA codon recognition, and the 3' end, to which the tRNAs corresponding amino acid is attached (by aminoacyl-tRNA synthetases). tRNAs cope with the degeneracy of the genetic code in two manners: having more than one tRNA (with a specific anti-codon) for a particular amino acid; and 'wobble' base-pairing, i.e. permitting non-standard base-pairing at the 3rd anti-codon position.
Source: Rfam by way of RNAcentral